Molecule: small nuclear RNA, 105 nt
Filed under: Amborella trichopoda
Lineage: Eukaryota; Viridiplantae; Streptophyta; Magnoliopsida; Amborellales; Amborellaceae
Source: RNAcentral
AUAUUUGAUAAGAUACCAGCAAUAAAAUUGGAACUAUACAAAGAAAAUCAGCAUCUCCCCUGGUCAAGGAUGACGAACAAAUCGAGAGAUGGUCAUCUUGAAGAU